Long non-coding RNA from Myotis davidii, 705 nucleotides. RefSeq lists it as uncharacterized. The record is from RefSeq and is a predicted model, not a curated record. NCBI's taxonomy places the organism in Eukaryota, Metazoa, Chordata, Mammalia, Chiroptera, Vespertilionidae. The transcript is spliced from 2 exons.
CCCCUGGGGUGGGUCUGGCCGCGGGGGAGGGAAGGUUCUGCUGUCAGUCUGUCCUUCGUUCUAUCUGCUCUCCCUGCGACUCGGAACCAGUUACGGAUCGAUACCGCCUGCCUUAAAGGAUGACCCCAAAGCGCCGUCAGGACCAGCUUUCGGUCUGUCGCGGAGACUAGACACACUCCAUUCCAGCUCCACGGGAGACGCGGCCUGAAGGGUGAAGGGCCCCUGGUCACCUGGGGUCAGAGGUCAGGCUCCCGGUGGGGUCAGCUGGGUGGGUCCCGGUGGACCUGGGUGGAGACUUGUCUCCAGAUGUUUCAGAGCCAGCGAUCUAUGCGCCAUUGAUGAGCUGCUAGAUCUCUCCGAGCUCAUUCCCGCAGAGGGGCCUUAGAAACAGGACAGUAACGGAGCAGCCUAUGGGCUCCGGAUGCGUCGUCAGUCAUCCUACCGAGGAGGCGAGUGCAUCACCCUCCAUGUAUUUCCCUCCUCGGUCCUCCCUGAAAUUCCAUUAUUGUCGAGGUGUUUAUCCGGGUACCUGGAGGCUAGCUGAGCCCCCGCCUCGCUGCCUCCCCAGCUCCUGACGAGUUCGCAGGGCUUUCUCUUGUUUCAUGGGAAUUUCAUGUGAUGCUCACAAAGGGACUGUUGCACAGAAACUGUAAUUAUAGGCAUCGUACAUAUAACUAUUAUACAGAUACAUAAAUACUAGAGGCC